RNAcentral lists this long non-coding RNA (2244 nucleotides) under Pelobates cultripes (western spadefoot toad). Lineage: Eukaryota; Metazoa; Chordata; Amphibia; Anura; Pelobatidae. The record is from RNAcentral.
CUUUAUUUUUGCAUAAAACACAUGUAUAACAACAAAUAAUCCCCCAAAAUCCAUCUUUUGGCAUCUUAAAAUUAAACAGCACAGAGCAUUUGGGGAGCUGUGCUGGGCAUCAGUGUGUAAAUAUACCUCAUAUUUAAGUGUAUGGCAACCCUGGCUGAUUUUCUUGAAGGGUAAACCACUACAAACGAGCUUACUUGGGGAAACUGAAAUCCACGUUCAUCACGUCUCUCUCUUUCCUGAAAAUUCCUGAAAUUGCUAUAAUGCCAGAUAGAAGCCUUGGUUCUUCACUAGGUGUAUGAUUGUUCCAUUUUACUUAUUUACAUAUUUUGUUGCUAUAUUAUUUUUGUUUGUUCUCAUACAUGUCAGCGUAUACGUAAGCCUAGAGGUUUUGUGAAUGUCAUUGUAAUAUAUGUUAUGUAUGAACCAUUCUCAGCACUGACGUCAUCUCUGAACCUUGUUUUUGCACCCAGGGCCUCAAAGCCAUCGUGGUUAUGGCUAAGGGAUUUGGAGCUGUCAGCGUCGGGGAUAGUGCUCCGGAUACGACGGUCAAAGAAGGAUCAGGCAGGCAAGGGAGCCCAGGAUCAUAUCGGAGUUAUGGGGGGGUGUAUAUUGCCCAGUACGGCUAGUGAGGGAGUUCCUCCAGUUUCGGGGUCAAAGGAUGGUACGUCGCUGAGUCGUUUCCAGUUCUCUAGGAAUUCAAGGGAGGUUGGAUUGGACCCUGGGUAGUACUCGUCACAUUCCUUCCGUAUAGGUGCGGCGACGCAGGCGAGUCAGAUGGGUCUCCCCGCGGAGGCGUUAAAACCGCUGGAGUGGUGGAAGUAGGACCGGUAUCAGCUAUAUGUGCGCCCACAUAUGUUAUGAUGGUGUUUAGCAAUUUCCCCUUCUCUCUCCCUCCCUUCCCUUCCCUCUCAGUUCAUUAGGUAUGUGGUUCCCGGGUGUGGGGUUGUUAAUUCUGUUCUUUCAUUCUAGGUAGGGGUCCGCGCUUUGUAUGGAUAAUCGGGCACUCCUAUGUGUACUGGGCAGCCCGGCGCGUGGAAGACAGAGUGUAUGGCCGUAACUUGAGUUUUCCCUGUGAGUUCGGGUAUGUUGGAGGGGGUUAAAUGUACUCAGAAUGUCUUCAAUUGAGCCGUAGCGGCGGUCGGUCUUGAUGGGAGUUUGGUCAGAAAUCAUCCCUCGCCCAGUAUGGCGGACGAGUGCACAUGGUAAAGGCUUAGAGAGGUGUAGGAGGAAGGUCAACAUGUCAGUCUCUAGAUUUAUUCAACGCAUGGGGGGUGUGGUAGUACGCCACUUUGAGCUGGAAGGAGAUAAUACUAAUGUCAUGUGGGGGGGGUGGCGUACAUUUGUCACCAGUAGGAUUGGAGAUAUUCAAUGUGGGACUCCAAUCAGGAAUUGAAAUUGCGCUGUCGGCGGGGAAGCGCGAUGCCGGCGCGGAGUAGGGAGCGCAAGGAGGGCAUCGCGGUGGAGGUAUCCUGGACAGCGCAAAGAAAAAGGUUAAGACUAAGAGUUGCUUUGGGGAGAUGACAGCCCGCACGGGAGCUAAUGGUGGAGUGCCAGCCCGCACGGGAGCUGAUGGCAGAGUGCCGGCUGUUUAGGCUCAUGGAAAAAGGUUGGGGGAACUGUCUGUUGGGCAACCGCUCAACAGCUGAUAGAUUUGGAUAAUAUUAAAAGUUUUAAAUUUAAUAAAGCUGUGGCCGUUGCCCUUAUCCACUAAGAAGGUGUCCGGUGUGUUAUUGAGGGGCAACGGUGGGGACAUGGAUUAUGGGUCAUCAGUCAUGUAGUCUACAACAUAUGGGGUGCUAAAGGUUGCCUACCCUGUGCUAGAUCUAGGUAGUGAGUAGAAAAGGAGUAAAAAAAAUUAAUACAUUUUAAAAAAAACUCCCAAGCUUUUCAUCACAUUGAUCUCAAAUUCUACCCAGCCAGGUCUAAAACCUCUGUACAUGGAGAUAAAACUACCAAAUAAUUAUAUUAAAUGACUGGUAAUAAUAUGUCUAAAGACUGCAAAUGAUUAUUUAAACGGUGUCUGGGUAAGUAACUAUCUAAAAUAUAUAUUGUAUGUGUUGUCCUGUUACUCUGGAUACGUUACACUGUUCUAUCUAAGGUAUGUCUUUUUGCUGAUGAUACUAAGAUAUGUAACAGGAUUGAUGUUCCAGGAGGGAUAAGCCAAAUGACAAAUGAUUUAGGUAAACUAGAAAAAUGGUCAGAAUUGUGGCAACUGACAUUUAAUGUGGAUAAGUGCAAGAUAAU